This is a transfer RNA of Ovis aries (sheep), 72 nucleotides long. It matches the Rfam family "tRNA". Rfam says of the family: Transfer RNA (tRNA) molecules are approximately 80 nucleotides in length. The record is from Rfam. NCBI's taxonomy places the organism in Eukaryota, Metazoa, Chordata, Mammalia, Artiodactyla, Bovidae.
UCCCUCGUGGCUCAGACGGUAAAGCGUCUGCAUACAAUGCAGAAGACCCGGGUUCCAUCCCUGGGUCGGGAA